RNAcentral lists this ribosomal RNA (160 nucleotides) under Vibrio parahaemolyticus. RNAcentral's name for it is "partial 16S ribosomal RNA". It matches the Rfam family "Bacterial small subunit ribosomal RNA", at positions 1383 to 1533 of the family's 1533-position model. Lineage: Bacteria; Pseudomonadati; Pseudomonadota; Gammaproteobacteria; Vibrionales; Vibrionaceae. The record is from RNAcentral.
GUACACACCGCCCGUCACACCAUGGGAGUGGGCUGCAAAAGAAGUGGGUAGUUUAACCUUCGGGAGGACGCUCACCACUUUGUGGUUCAUGACUGGGGUGAAGUCGUAACAAGGUAGCGCUAGGGGAACCUGGCGCUGGAUCACCUCCUUAUACGAUGAU